CGCGUGUGUGAAGAAGGCCUUCGGGUUGUAAAGCACUUUCAGUUGUGAGGAAAAGUUAGUAGUUAAUACCUGCUAGCCGUGACGUUAACAACAGAAGAAGCACCGGCUAACUCCGUGCCAGCAGCCGCGGUAAUACGGAGGGUGCGAGCGUUAAUCGGAAUUACUGGGCGUAAAGCGCACGCAGGCGGUUUGUUAAGCUAGAUGUGAAAGCCCCGGGCUCAACCUGGGAUGGGCAUUUAGAACUGGCAGACUAGAGUCUUGGAGAGGGGAGUGGAAUUCCAGGUGUAGCGGUGAAAUGCGUAGAUAUCUGGAGGAACAUCAGUGGCGAAGGCGACUCCCUGGCCAAAGACUGACGCUCAUGUGCGAAAGUGUGGGUAGCGAACAGGAUUAGAUACCCUGGUAGUCCACACCGUAAACGCUGUCUACUAGCUGUGUGUGCCUUUAAGGCGUGCGUACCGAAGCUAACGCGCUAAGUAAACCGCCGGGGGAGUACGGCCGCAAGGUUAAAACUCAAAUGAAUGGACGGGGGCCCG
This 533-nucleotide ribosomal RNA is filed under the name Alteromonas sp. SDDC1. Its description in RNAcentral is "bacterial SSU rRNA". It matches the Rfam family "Bacterial small subunit ribosomal RNA", at positions 398 to 923 of the family's 1533-position model. The record is from RNAcentral. Lineage: Bacteria; Pseudomonadati; Pseudomonadota; Gammaproteobacteria; Alteromonadales; Alteromonadaceae.